CUAAGGGGAGGAAAAGAAACUAACCAGGAUUCCCACAGUAGCUGCGAGCGAACAGGGAGUAGCCCAGCACCGAAUCUCCCGGCCGUUGUGUCGGUGAGAAAUGUGGUGUUCGGGAGCGGUCGAUCCCGCGACGCGCUAGAGCGUUCCAAGUCCUCUUGAAAGGGGCCACGGCCCGUAGAGGGUGCCAGGCCCGUAAGGACGACGUGCGCGCCGGGGUGGCCGACUCCUCAGAGUCGGGUUGCUUGAUAAUGCAACCCUAAGCAGGUGGUAAACUCCAUCUAAGGCUAAAUAUGACCACGAGGCCGAUAGCGAACAAGUACCGUGAGGGAAAGUUGAAAAGAACUUUGGAGAGAGAGUUCAAG
Molecule: ribosomal RNA, 362 nt
Filed under: Ganoblemmus rasilis
Lineage: Eukaryota; Metazoa; Arthropoda; Insecta; Orthoptera; Gryllidae
Description: eukaryotic LSU rRNA
Rfam family: Eukaryotic large subunit ribosomal RNA
Source: RNAcentral